UUCUAGGAAGAGUCCUGGUGGUUCCAAACAUCUUCCACUUAUGAAUGAUGGAGGCCACUGUGCUCAUUGGAACUUUCAAAGCAGCAGAAAUUUUUCUGUAACCUUCCCCAGCCUUGUGCCUCGAGACAUUCUUGUCUACAGACAAUUCCUUUGUCUUCAUGCUUGGUUUGGGCUUUUCAAAUCAUGUCCAAUCAACUGAAUUUACCACAGGUGAACUUCAAUUAAGCUGCUGAAACAUCUAAAGAUUGAUCAGUGGAAACAGAAUGGACCUGAGCUCAAUUUAGAGCUUCACGGCAAAGGCUGUGAAUACUUAUGUACAUGUGAUUUUUCAGGUUUUUUAUUUUUAACAAAUUUGCAACAAUUUCAAAAAAUCUUUUUUUUUUCACAUUGUCAUUAUGGGGUAUUGUGUGUAGAAUUUUGAGGAAAUAAAUGAAUUUAAUCUAUUUUGGAAUAAGGCUGUAACAUGAAAAAAUGUGCAAAAGGUGAAGCACUAUAAAUACUGUACUUUCUGAAAGCACAGUAUGUUGAUUAUGCAUUUGCACACUUUUUUAUCCCUUUAUCAUACCAACAAAAUUGAUGUCUGUUUAGAGCAACCACAUGACCUAGAGCACCAUAUAAAUGUUUCAUGAAGUAAGAAAGUAAUAGAGGAACAGAGAAAUAGAGGAACAUUACAACAACCAGACCACAUCUAUGAGACUAUGACUUUCACUGUUUUACUCUGUCUUUCAUUGUAUGGAUUUAUGCUGACAUCAUUUGCUGUCCAGCACCAGCGGGUCCGACCCAAUGGCAUGGCCAUUCUUCCAUGUGGUGACUUGAAGGUUGGAAAAGUGACUUGGAGCAGGGAUGUGAAAGGACAUCAAGUGUCUAUUCUCAGCACAGAUGACGGAAAGAUAAUCAGACACAUGCAUAAUAACAAUUACAGUUCAUUACCAGACCUGUCUCUGAUUAUCUGGUUUGUCUCAUCUUGGGAUGAAGGGUUGUAUUAUUGCAAUGGGACAUCUGUGGCAUGUCUGACAGUGAAACCAGCUGAUGGACGGAACAUUGAGGAUCUGACUAAAUGUCUCAAAGGUGCUGACCAUGCUGAUGUGAUGGAGCAAGUGUUGAUGUUUGGCGGUGUUGGAUUGGCAGCUCUGAUGUUUCUCUUUGCUACGGCAGCUGCAGUGAAAACUUUAUACUGUAUUGACAGUAAACCAAAACAAAGAACUCUUAACAAAGACCAUGUUCAGAUUAAUCCAGAUUAUAUUAACUUGAACAACAGUGAAACUGUUUUAUAGUAUUUUGUAAAAACAAAAGAAAAGAAAACAUUUAAAUGUGCAGCAGAGCUUACAGGGAUAGUUCACCCUAAAAUUUAAAAGUACUUACUGUUUACUCACCCUCAGGUGGUUAUGAACCUAUGAAUUUUCUUAAUCUGUUGAACACAAAGAUUUUAAAGGACGUUGGAACCCUGUAACCAUUGACCUCCAUAGUAUGACAAACAUACUAAGGAAGUCAAUGUUUACCAGUUUCCAACAUUUCCAACACUAGAAGAAAGCAACUCAAAUAUAGGAUGAUUAAAUCCUAAUUUGGGGUGAACUAUAACUUUUCAAAGCUAGUCAGAUACCACUACAUCAUUUACUAGUGACAAGCAAUGACAGAUUAAAUGCCUGUUUGUUUAUGUGCAUGCUCUAAGUCUUUUUUGUGUUUUUUUAUGUAUCUGUGUGGCUACACCCUAGCUCCUAAGGUUUUUUAUCAGUAUGAUGUGUGCACAACUUUGGGCACUGUCCUGUGGUAAUCCUGUGGUAUUUCAGCAGUAUAACAUAAAUUUACCACACAAAAAAUAAGCAAAGCUAAAUAUGACAGGAUUACUACAGCACUUUCUGCAGUACAAUAUCACAAGAAUUAACCACUAGAUGAAGUAUGUGAUUUUUGUUGUUGUUGGGGGUGUGGUUUUAGCAACUAAAUAUGACAGGAUUACUACAGCACUUUCUGCUGUAAAAUAUGACAAGAAAUUACCAUUAGAAAAAGAAUGUUUUUUUGUUGUUGUUUUGUGUGUGUGUGUGUGUGUGGUAAUACCAACAAAGCUAAAUAUGACAAGAUUACUACAGCACUUUCUGCUGUACAAUAUCACAAGAAUUUACCAUUAGAUAAAUUAUGAGGUUUUUCUGUUGUUGUUUUUUUUUGUGUGGUAAUACCAACACAGCUAAAUAUGACAGGGUUACUACAGCACUUUCUGCUGUGAACUAUCAAAAGAAUUAGCUUUUUAUUCUGGCAUUUUCUAAAACAUUUGUUUUUCUUAGUGGUAGAUAAAAUCAAAGUAUGUUCUGC
RNAcentral lists this long non-coding RNA (2304 nucleotides) under Danio rerio (zebrafish). RNAcentral describes it as "lncRNA (ENSDARG00000117338.1)". The record is from RNAcentral. Lineage: Eukaryota; Metazoa; Chordata; Actinopteri; Cypriniformes; Danionidae.